AGCAGAGAUGCUUUUGGUGCCUUUCGGGAACUCUGAGACAGGUGCUGCAUGGCUGUCGUCAGCUCGUGUUGUGAAAUGUUGGGUUAAGUCCCGCAACGAGCGCAACCCUUAUCUUUUGUUGCCAGCGGCUCGGCCGGGAACUCAAAGGAGACUGCCGGUGAUAAACCGGAGGAAGGUGGGGAUGACGUCAAGUCAUCAUGGCCCUUACGGCCAGGGCUACACACGUGCUACAAUGGCGCAUACAAAGAGAAGCGACCUCGCGAGAGCAAGCGGACCUCAUAAAGUGCGUCGUAGUCCGGAUUGGAGUCUGCAACUCGACUCCAUGAAGUCGGAAUCGCUAGUAGUCGUAGAUCAGAAUGCUACGGUGAAUACGUUCCCGGGCCUUGUACACACCGCCCGUCACACCAUGGGAGUGGGUUGCAAAAGAAGUAGGUAGCUUAACCUUCGGGAGGGCGCUUACCACUUUGUGAUUCAUGACUGGGGUGAAGUCGUAACAAGGUAGGCGUAGCGAG
Molecule: ribosomal RNA, 512 nt
Filed under: uncultured bacterium
Lineage: Bacteria
Description: bacterial SSU rRNA
Rfam family: Bacterial small subunit ribosomal RNA
Source: RNAcentral